RNAcentral lists this ribosomal RNA (253 nucleotides) under uncultured bacterium. RNAcentral describes it as "partial 16S ribosomal RNA". It matches the Rfam family "Bacterial small subunit ribosomal RNA", at positions 524 to 776 of the family's 1533-position model. The record is from RNAcentral.
UACGAAGGGGGCAAGCGUUGUUCGGAAUUACUGGGCGUAAAGGGCGCGUAGGCGGCUUAGCAAGUCAGGCGUGAAAUUCCCGGGCUCAACCUGGGGGCUGCGCUUGAUACUGGUGAGCUUGAAUGCGGGAGAGGAUAGUGGAAUUCCCAGUGUAGAGGUGAAAUUCGUAGAUAUUGGGAAGAACACCGGUGGCGAAGGCGGCUAUCUGGCCCGUAAUUGACGCUGAGGCGCGAAAGCGUGGGGAGCAAACAGG